This 19-nucleotide ribosomal RNA is filed under the name Trypanosoma cruzi. Its description in RNAcentral is "partial 5.8S ribosomal RNA". The record is from RNAcentral. Lineage: Eukaryota; Euglenozoa; Kinetoplastea; Trypanosomatida; Trypanosomatidae.
CAACGUGUCGCGAUGAGAU